Molecule: long non-coding RNA, 7386 nt
Filed under: Malus domestica (apple)
Lineage: Eukaryota; Viridiplantae; Streptophyta; Magnoliopsida; Rosales; Rosaceae
Description: long non-coding RNA (MDOM_LNC008261)
Source: RNAcentral
UCAGGGACUUACGAGACGUCGAUGUAAUCUGUGAGUGGGCAGUUUUGUUUUCCGUAUAUAUAUAUACUUGACGUUUCCCAGAAAUUGAAUUGAAAUGAAAAUAUGUUUAAAAUGAAAUGCAUAUGAAUUAUGUGGAAAAACGGGAAGUGAAAUACCAUGCAUAGAAUUGAUAUGAAAAGUAUAUAGAAAUGUGAGUUGAAAUGCCAUGCAUGAAUUAAUAUAUGAUGCAUAUGUAUGAAUUGGUGCGGUGGACGCACAGGUAUGAAUUAAUAUAUGAUGCAUAUGUAUGAAAUGGUGCGGUGGACGCACAGGUGAGUAUUUAUUUCUGUUAUGAUGAUGUUGAUGUAUAUUGAGCUCAAAUCCUGCACCAUAGUUUAGUGCUUAUAGUAUUCACCGCAUCGCACGCUCGCCUUGGAUCCAAGUAGAUGCUAGUCGUACAGUCCACGUGGAGUGGGUACGACAGGCCAGUCGCGAGAGUGUUAGUGAGAUUCCGACUGGUGGGUGACCUUAAAUUAUGUGCACAGAUGAUUUAUGAGAAGCACUAGAGCGUAACUUAGGUGCAGAAGGCCGUACAGGUCACGCGGAGUGACUCCGGCAGAGAGUGAGAGUGAUAGAUUUUGAGCUCUAGGUUCAACCGUACAGGGCUAUUAGAGGGCCUCCGGUUGAUUACUUUAUUGCACCUGAUAUGAUUUAUGUUGAUGCAUUCAUACCCUAUUACUGUUGAGAUGAUGUGGUAUGGCAUAAUUAAUAUGAGAAAAUGUUGAGUUAAUGAAUUGAAGUAUUGAGAAUAUAUAUAUGUAUAUUUAUAUUUUAUAUUUCUGGGAAAGUAUACAGGUUUUACGGAGAGGGGUUACAACGUUUUGAGAAAUGUUUGGAUUUGGAAAAGAAUUGUUUUACUGACCCACUCAAUUUUGGUUUUGCGCCCCUCCAGGUUCAGGAAUCACAAAGGUGUGGUGACUACGAGGAAUUUGACGGUGUUCUGACAGAUUGGACAAAAUUAGGACUCACCUUCGGGUGUAUCAACUUAUAAAUUGUAUCUUAAAGCUUCCGUACUGUGUAAAUGGUUACGUCACUCUCACGUGACGGCCAGCAUGCCCUCCUUCGGGACGGGGUUUGUCAGUUGGUAUCAGAGCAUGGUUGCAAUCUUGGACAUCUUGAGAAGUUUCUAGUGAAUUCUGUCAGAACUACACCGCCUCGUAGCAAGCCACUUAGUUAGAGGAAUUUAGUCUCCCUAAUAUAGCGGUUUAGGGAAAACUAUUAUUAUGGUGAUUCAGUCUAUUAUAAAAAGGGACAUUUUAAGACGGAUUAUGAGUCGAAUUUGAAUCACCUUAUGAAAUGAUGAACCUGAGGGAGGGAAGUAACGGUUUAACCAUUGGAAAAGAUGUUUCAGGUUAUGCAAGUCAAAGGAAAUUUCCUUCUGACAAGGGGUCGAGACGACUACCUGGUUUUGGGUAUGAAUUUGUAUCCUGGUGGAAACAGGAUUGUUAAUUGUUGUCACCGGAGGAAACAGCUGAUUGAGAAUUAUUUAAGGACUUGUUUAAGGAAAAGUUUAUCCCUCCGGCAUUUAUCGAUGGUAGUAAGCAAGAGUUUGCAAAUGUGAAUCAAGGAAGUUGACGAUAAAUGAAUAUUAUAGAAAGUUUUCAGACUUGCCUCGUUCCAUCCAGAUAUUUGAGACAAGGUGUCUCGAGUAAAGGAAAUGUACCUUGUGCAGCAGGUACAAAAUUAACACUUUGGGAAGUGUGAAAUUAAUGAAUGUGUUUAUGUGAACAGAGGGGACACAGAAUUGUGAAUCGUCCCUAGAAUCAGUUGUACUCAACAAUUUUCCAUGAUAUCAUAGUGUCGAUUCAGCAGAGUUAUGGACUUAGUAGUUUGAUCGGAUUGACCGUGAGUACAGAGAGAUUUGAUGAGUUAUAUGUUCAGCCGUACAGGCCACGAGAGGUGGAUCUGGCUGACGCAUGAGAAAUUGGUGAGUUAUAGGCUCGGCCGUACCGACCACGCGGAGUGGAUCCGGCCGACGUAUUAUUGAGAUAAGAGUUGAAUCAGCCGUAUUGAUCAUUCUAGUUGACUUCGGCUGAUAUAUUUCUUAUUAUGUAUGUUAUAUCUUUGAGAGUGGUUGCCUACUUAUCGAGACAACGAUGAUUUAUCAGUAUUGCGGGCUGCAGACCGUAAUAUUAAUAACUCAUUCGUGGAUUCGUUAAGCAAGCAAACCGGUAGGUUAUUUUAUGUUAGUGAUGUACUUAUUUAGAAUGUUCAGUAAUAAUAAAGUAUGUAUUGGAUCAGUUAAUUUUAUUCCAUUAGAUUGAUUGUUUAUAGUUGUGACUAGAUGGAAUGUUACGGGAAACCAGUUACUUUCCAUCGAGUUGAUUAAUUAGAGGUUACUUUGGUGGGCAUACAAAGUGAAAUGAGUUCAGCCAUUAUUUAUGCUGUGAAAGCAAAGAGAUUGUUUUGAAAGGCUGCCCAAAAAAAAAAAAAAAAAAAAAAAAAAAAAAAAAAAAAAAACUUAGUUCAUGUGGUGCUAAAUGAUGUUGUUUGGAGUAGUGUGAAUAAUGUCGAAAGGGUUAGACUUUUCUUGAUGUCUUCCUUGAAAGUAUACCUGGAUUGCCUUCAGGCAGAGAUAUGAGAUUCACUAUUGAUUUGUUGCCAGGUAUAAAUUUAUGUUAAAGAUUGGUUCAUGAUGAGUUAAGGGAAUUGGAAAUUCAGUUGAAAGAAUUGGUUGAUAAAAGUUUUAUUCAACCUAGUACAACACUUUUGAGGAGCACCAGUUUGUUGGUGAGAAAGAAAAUGGACUUAGAGAUUGUUCAUUGAUUAUAGACAAUGGAAUUGGUAACGAUAGAGAACCGUUAUCCAUGAUAGUGUACUGAUGUUUAGUUGAUAAGCUCAGAGAUGUUUGGGUAAUUUCAAAGAUUGAUUGAGGUCUGGUUAUUACCAAUUGAAGAUUUUGAGCGACAUUGAUCAUAAGAUGGUUUUCUGGAUUUGUUAUGAUCUUUUAUGAGUUUGGUGAUGCUAUAUGGAUACUCAUGCUGUUUUAUGAGUUGAUGGGUGAAGUAUUCCAAUAAUGACUUGAUAAAGUGAUAUCAUUUUCAUUGAAGAUAUUCUGGCAUAUUCUGAGCCAGAGCAGAGCAUGUAAACGUAUUAAGUCGGUGGAACAAAGAUUGGAAGAAUGUCGAUUGUAUGCUAAGUUUAGCAAAUGCUAAAGUUAGAUGAAUCAGGUGGCAUUCUGAGAUUUGUCAUAUAUUCUUAAGGUAUUCAAGUGAAUCCUUAAAAGAUAGCAGAAAUUGAGAAUUUGGAACAACCACGAGUCGUAAUUGAGAUUUGGAAUUUCUUAGCUUACCAGGCUAUCUUGGAUGGUUGUGAAAGAUUUUUCAGUCAUUGCUUUGUCAUUGACGAGACUGUUGAGAAAAGAGGUUAUGUAUGAGUGGGAAGGAAAUUGUGAGCAAAGUAUUGAACAACUGAAGUAUUUCCUCACUCAUGCACGUAUUUUGGUAUUCCCAGAGGAUAGUGGUAAUCAUAAAUUUUUAGUGAUGUUUCUUGAAUGGUAUUGGAGGCAUGUUGAUGCAAAUGUUAGGGUGAUUGCAUACGUUUCACGAUAAAUGGAACCUUAUGAGAUGAAUUACCCUACGGGUGACUUGGAAGUCAUGAUUACCAUUCUUGCUGUGAAGUUAUGAAGGCAUUAUAUUUAGUAAGAAUGCAAGAUUUUUACGAAUCCAAAAAGUCUUCAAUAUCCAUUACUUGGAAGGAUUUUAUUAUGAGGCAGUGAAAGUGAAUUGUAUUGCUUAAUGAACAUGAUUGUACGAUCAGGGUGAUCGUAAAGUUUGUUCUAGCUGAAGCACUUGGUGAGAAGACUACAGUAAGAUUAAUGUCUGGCACGUUGCCAAGAGUAUCAUCUUGUGGAUUGAAAACCAACGGAAGAAAAGUUAAGAAUGAAAGAUCGAGAAGAAGUUAUACUUGUUAAAUUUCAAGUUAGGCCUGUUUGGUAAGGUCGUACUCGAAACUUAAAUGUUUGACGAGGAAUUUAAGAAUUAACCAAGGCAAGGAAAGAAAGGAAAAAGAAUGAGUACAUGAUUCGUGAAUCAAAUGGUAUGUGGAUACAAGAAAACAAAAAGUAUGUGCCUAAUGCUGAGGAUUUGAAGCAAGCAAAUAUUGGACGAAGUUCACUGUUCAACUUCUGCAAUAUUCCAAAAGUAAUAAGAUUUAUCAUACCAUUCGACAGUUUUAUUGGUCAGCAGAUUGAGGCAGAAAGAAAUAAACCUUUGGAUUGAGAUAACUAUUUUCUGUUUCGAAACGGAAAUGGAAAGAUAUUACUUUGGACUAUGUAUACAAGUUUCCCUGUAUACAAGAUGGUUACGGUCGAAUUUAAAGUAAUAGUUGGUUAACGUAACAAGUUAGUACAUUUACUCCAGUGUUGAGUAACAACCUUUCCCAGACAGUGCAACGGUACUUAUUUGUUUUAUGGAAAGAGAAUUGGAUUACGGAACUGCUGAGUUUCUUAAGUAUGUUGGUUUCGCCAGUUUUCAAAGUAACGCCAUAAUGUCCAUGAAACGUGUUAUAUGUGUCGAUUUUUGCUGAAUUGUGGAUGGAAUGCUUCUGGGUAGAGAAAGAUUCGAUCACAAAAGAGUUUUAGUAGACCCUGAGACUAUGGAUGAGUCUCCUCAAAGUAUUCAUGUGAUUAAGUUAACCUGAAGUAACCAGGAAUGGCAAAAGAGAUCAACAGAUGGAUAUGCCACUAAUCGAGUAUAUAAGGUAAAUGGUUUUAUAUUUUCGAAGUGUUCACCAUAGAAAAGUUUAAUUCGGGUUGGAAAGGAAGGCAAGUUAAAUCCUAAAUGAAUCGGACUUAGCGUGAUCAUCGAAAGGUUGGUGAAGUUGAUUAUAGAAUUGAAUGGCUUCCAGAGUUGUUGUAAGUGCAUGAUGUGUUUCAUGAGUCGAUAUUUUGGAAAAUUCACCACGAACAAAAAUGGCGAGAAUUGGAAAGGAGACACAUCAGACCAUUUUUGAUCACUAAAGGAAUCAAUAAAGUUGCAUACAAGUUUGUGAUGCCUUCAAAAUUGGCUAAGGUGCAUAAGGUAUUAUAUUUCGAUGCGUUGUCACUAGGUGGCAGAUUCGUCACAUGGGAUUCUGGUGUAACUAUUGAGAAUUAAACUGGAUCUAAUUAGUGAGGAGCUAAUGACGACUUUGGAUUGGAAAAAGAAGGUCCUGAGAAUUAAGACAGAGUAAGUGGUAAAAGUUUUGUGAAGAAAAUCAUUCAGUAGAAAAUUAUGUGGGAGAAAGAGAAUCGGAUGAGAAAGAUUUACCCGAAUCUAUUGUUGGAGUAUAGUUGAUUUAGUUGGUUGCUGGAAUUUCGGGGACGAAAUUCUAUAAGGAGGGAAGAUUGUCACAGCCCGUCCCGGAAUUAUUAAUUCCGAGGACGUGAAAUGACCAAUGUGACCUUAAACGGGAUUAAGGUGUGUAAAGGUACGACAUUUGUCUUACUUUAAGAUCCUAAACUAGGGUUAGAUUUGUAUGUGUAUGUGUAUGUGUUAAUAUUAUAUGGGUUAAGGUAGGGCCUUAUACCCUGAAAUCCUUCCCCAAAACCCGUUUUGUUGUCUCUCUCUCUUAUCCUUCUCAGUAACCUUUCUUCUCUCUUAUUCUAUCAUUUCAGACUCUCUCUCAUUCUCUCUCUUACUCUCGAACUCACGGCAAACACCAAGAACAACCACAAUCCUACACCAACGUCCAAUCUAAGAUCACCAUCGUGAUCCUGAGGACUUCACGAACACGGGGAUACCAGUUUAAGGUGAGUUUCACUUCGGAAAACCCUAGUUUCAGUGUCACCGUAAUAUUGCACUGUUCACGAACUUCAAAUUGGCUUUGUUUUAGGCCAAAAUAAGAUCAUAGUGAGCUUAAGGAAGUUCCAAGGAUGCUCGGAGUGUAACGUUUGGAAGUUUUGGACGUCGGGAUCGUUGAGUUCGACGUUUGGCCGAUUUUUGGAAUUUUUGGAAGGUAUGAUCCCGUGGUUUUUAGUGUUUAAAACCCUUCCAUCGUGAUUGUACAUGUUAAAUGCUUCAAUUUGGUAUAAAUUACAUGAAAAAUGGACGAAAAACGAAGGAGAAUAGUGGUUUUGAAAAAUUACCCAGUUUCCGGCGCCGGCGACGGUCGCCGGAGCUGAAGGUUGAAGGUGAUGGAAUAUUCCGUCAAGUUUGACGGAAUAUUCUGACGCCGUUAGUCAGUUUUAACGGAAACCGUUAGUUUUUAACGGAAUAUUCCGGGAAUAUUCCUAUCGUCGUUCACUGUAGCCGUCAGUGUGCAUGUCACGUGGCCGCGCGUGGGGGGCGCGUGAGAGCUCCAAAAAUUAUUUUAAAAAUAUGGGGAUGAUCCUGAGGUUGUGUAGGUCACAGUGGUAUAUUCAUAUACCCAAUUUGAGCAAUAUAUGAGGAGUUAUUAGCUAAGAGUGGGAUUAUGCGUUAAAUAACGUUAAUUUGGUUACUUCUCGUAUAGGCGAGGAUUAUACGGACGUCGGGCAUGGCCAAGGGAUGCUCAGGGACUUACGAGACGUCGAUGUAAUCUGUGAGUGGGCAGUUUUGUUUUCCGUAUAUAUAUAUACUUGACGUUUCCCAGAAAUUGAAUUGAAAUGAAAAUAUGUUUAAAAUGAAAUGCAUAUGAAUUAUGUGGAAAAAACAGGAAGUGAAAUACCAUGCAUAGAAUUGAUAUGAAAAAGUAUAUAGAAAUGUGAGUUGAAAUGCCAUGCAUGAAUUAAUAUAUGAUGCAUAUGUAUGAAUUGGUGCGGUGGACGCACAGGUAUGAAUUAAUAUAUGAUGCAUAUGUAUGAAAUGGUGCGGUGGACGCACAGGUGAGUAUUUAUUUCUGUUAUGAUGAUGUUGAUGUAUAUUGAGCUCAAAUCCUGCACCAUAGUUUAGUGCUUAUAGUAUUCACCGCAUCGCACGCUCGCCUUGGAUCCAAGUAGAUGCUAGUCGUACAGUCCACGUAGAGUGGGUACGACAGGCCAGUCGCGAGAGUGUUAGUGAGAUUCCGACUGGUGGGGGUGACCUUAAAUUAUGUGCACAGAUGAUUUAUGAGAAGCACUAGAGCGUAACUUAGGUGCAGAAGGCCGUACAGGUCACGCGGAGUGACUCCGGCAGAGAGUGAGAGUGAUAGAUUUUGAGCUCUAGGUUCAACCGUACAGGGCUAUUAGAGGGCCUCCGGUUGAUUACUUUAUUGCACCUGAUAUGAUUUAUGUUGAUGCAUUCAUACCUUAUUACUGUUGAGAUGAUGUGGCAUGGCAUAAUUAAUAUGAGAAAAUGUUGAGUUAAUGAAUUGAAGUAUUGAGAAUAUAUAUAUAUGUAUAUUUAUAUUUUAUAUUUCUGGGAAAGUAUACAGGUUUUACGGAGAGGGGUUACAACGUUUUGAGAAAUG